GGGGAGUUUUGGCCGUGAAAGCCCGGAUCGAAGCAAGAAGUGCUCCGGUUGCAGUUUUGGGAUUUUGCCGAUUCCCGGCCAUUCCGGCCACCUCCGGCCACCAUAUUCCCAUCGAAGGGUUCUUGGAGCUUCGGGGCUUUCCUUCACCGGCUUGAUUCGACCACGUCGAGGUAAAAUUGGUUGAUGUUGUAGUUGAGAAGUUGGUUGGGCUUGUUGUAUAGAUGCUAGUGCCGGAGUUUGGUGGUCAUCGGAGGAGGUCGCCGCCGGCGCGUGGUCCCCACGCGCCGCCACUGUGGGUAGCGCGUGGAGGCGCGUAGAGCAGUGUUUUAAUUCCGGUUUUUAGCCCAUUAAAUCCUAUUAAUUGUGUAGAGCUUGUAUGUGAAAUUUGGUAAUUUUUGGAGAAACUUAGAAUUAUAUAUGGAUUUUGAAAUUUAAGGUUUCGAUUAUCGAAUUACGAGAAUCCGACCGUCGGAUAUCUCUCGGUUCUGCCUUGGAACCUUUAAAUUAACGAAUUGGUAUUAGUGGUAUAAUUUGGGCUAAAUCCUAGGAGAAUGGAAGAUGUAAUUAUGAGGAAUUGAUUUUAAGAAUCGUAUUAAAUUGUUGAAGAAUUAAUCACGGAGUAUAAUUAUGUACAGGACGACGUACCGAGCUAUUGCUCGAUAACGGAACACGAAUGCGUGAUCGUCGGAAUAGUACUUUUGCAGGCGAAUUAGUGGAGGUCGGGCGUACAUGACAUUUGAGGCAUAAUUGUCACCACUUCCGCAUUGUAGGAUCCCUUGAUCAUUUACUCUACUU
This is a long non-coding RNA of Rosa rugosa (rugosa rose), 795 nucleotides long. RefSeq lists it as uncharacterized. NCBI's taxonomy places the organism in Eukaryota, Viridiplantae, Streptophyta, Magnoliopsida, Rosales, Rosaceae. The transcript is spliced from 3 exons. The record is from RefSeq and is a predicted model, not a curated record.